ACCGGGAGCGGCGGCGCGCUCCUGUAAUCCGGCUGCUCGGAGGUCGGAUUGCGUGGAUGGUUUGAGGUGGGGGUAACUGUGGCGGGACGCUCCGCGUUGAACGGACGUCCGCGCUAAGCUUGUCGUCAAUAUGGAUCCGGCGGGGUAGCCCAUCGGAUCCAGGUUAGCUAAGGCGAGGCGAACCGGGCCAGGGGGGAAACCCAGCAGCCAAAAGUCUCCGCGGUGAGCAGUAGCGGGAUCGCGUCUGCGAGUAGAACGCUCGUUUGCAGCCCCGCCGACACAACCAGACCGCAAUCCAA
Molecule: non-coding RNA, 299 nt
Organism: Acyrthosiphon pisum (pea aphid)
Lineage: Eukaryota; Metazoa; Arthropoda; Insecta; Hemiptera; Aphididae
Source: Rfam